GAUGAACGCUAGCUACAGGCCUAACACAUGCAAGUCGAGGGGUAACGAGAGGAAAGCUUGCUUUCCUUGUCGACGACCGGCGCACGGGUGAGUAACGCGUAUCCAACCUGCCCCCAACUAGGGAAUAACCUUGCGAAAGUAAGACUAAUACCCUAUAAUUUCCUCAGAUGUCAUCUGACGAGGAAUAAAGAUUUAUCGGUUGUGGAUGGGGAUGCGUCUGAUUAGCUUGUUGGCUGGGUAACGGCCCACCAAGGCAGCGAUCAGUAGGGGUUCUGAGAGGAAGGUCCCCCACAUUGGAACUGAGACACGGUCCAAACUCCUACGGGAGGCAGCAGUGAGGAAUAUUGGUCAAUGGGCGGAAGCCUGAACCAGCCAAGUAGCGUGCAGGAUGACGGCCCUAUGGGUUGUAAACUGCUUUUAUACAGGAAUAAAGUUAGCCACGUGUGGUUAUUUGUAGGUACUGUAUGAAUAAGGACCGGCUAAUUCCGUGCCAGCCGCCGCCGUAA
Molecule: ribosomal RNA, 506 nt
Filed under: uncultured bacterium
Lineage: Bacteria
Description: partial 16S ribosomal RNA
Rfam family: Bacterial small subunit ribosomal RNA
Source: RNAcentral